GGGGAUGUAGCUCAGCGGUAGCGUGCAUGUUUUGCAUGUAUGAGGUCCUAGGUUCGAUCCCCAGCAUCUCCA
Molecule: non-coding RNA, 72 nt
Organism: Alligator sinensis (Chinese alligator)
Lineage: Eukaryota; Metazoa; Chordata; Crocodylia; Alligatoridae
Source: Rfam